GGAUUCACUAGUGAUUCAGGCCUAACACAUGCAAGUCGAACGGUGAAGGUGGAGAGAAUGCUCUCUACUGGAUCAGUGGCGAACGGGUGAGUAACACGUGGGCAACCUGCCCCAGACUUUGGGAUAACUCUCCGAAAGGAGAGCUAAUACCGGAUACGAGAUCGGACGGCAUCGUCUGGUCUGGAAAGCUCCGGCGGUCUGGGAUGGGCCCGCGGCCUAUCAGCUAGUUGGAGGGGUAACGGCCCACCAAGGCGACGACGGGUAGCCGGCCUGAGAGGGCGACCGGCCACACUGGGACUGAGACACGGCCCAGACUCCUACGGGAGGCAGCAGUGGGGAAUAUUGGU
RNAcentral lists this ribosomal RNA (347 nucleotides) under uncultured bacterium. Its description in RNAcentral is "bacterial SSU rRNA". It matches the Rfam family "Bacterial small subunit ribosomal RNA", at positions 43 to 368 of the family's 1533-position model. The record is from RNAcentral.